AGCGCAGGUGGGAAUGUAAGUCUUUCUUAAAAGUGCGGGGCUCAACCCCGUGAUGGGAAAGAAACUAUAUUUCUUGAGUGCAGGAGAGGAAAGCGGAAUUCCUAGUGUAGCGGUGAAAUGCGUAGAUAUUAGGAGGAACACCAGUGGCGAAGGCGGCUUUCUGGACUGUAACUGACACUGAGGCUCGAAAGCCAGGGGAGCAACG
Molecule: ribosomal RNA, 205 nt
Filed under: uncultured bacterium
Lineage: Bacteria
Description: partial 16S ribosomal RNA
Rfam family: Bacterial small subunit ribosomal RNA
Source: RNAcentral